Molecule: ribosomal RNA, 1157 nt
Filed under: human gut metagenome
Description: bacterial LSU rRNA
Rfam family: Bacterial large subunit ribosomal RNA
Source: RNAcentral
UAAUGGCCGAAAGUCUAAGGUUUUUGGAGGAAGGUUCGUCCGCUCCAAGUAAGAGUAAAGCUGAUCCGCUCCAAGUAAGUCGGGAGCUAAGGUCAGGCCGAAAGGCGUAGCCGAUGCACAAACGGUUGAUAUUCCGUUACCGUCUACAAUUUAAACAAAGGGACACAUACAAAGCGUUUAACCCGGGCGAUGGUUGACCCGGGCGCAAGGGACUGAAAUAAGAGUAGGGAAGUAAAUGUGGCGUAUGGCGAGAAAAGCUUUGUGAAUAGAAGUAGACGCCCGUACCGCAAACCGACACAGGUGGACAGGAAGAGAAUUCUAAGGCCAGCGGGAGAAGGGUAGUUAAGGAACUCGGCAAAUUGACUCCGUAACUUCGGAAUAAGGAGUGCUCGAAAGAGCCGCAGAGAAUAGGCCCAGGCGACUGUUUAGCAAAAACACAGGUCUCUGCCAAAUCGAAAGAUGAAGUAUAGGGGCUGACACCUGCCCGGUGCCGGAAGGUUAAGAGGAGGAGUGCAAGCUCCGAAUUGAAGCCCCGGUAAACGGCGGCCGUAACUAUAACGGUCCUAAGGUAGCGAAAUUCCUUGUCGGGUAAGUUCCGACCCGCACGAAUGGUGUAACGAUCUGGGCACUGUCUCAACUACCCACCCGGCGAAAUUGUAGUACCGGUGAAGAUGCCGGUUACCUGCGGCAAGACGGAAAGACCCCAUGGAGCUUUACUGUAGCCUGAUAUUGGGUUUCGGAAAUCUAUGUACAGGAUAGGCGGGAGACUGGGAAGUAUGAGCGUCAGCUUAUACGGAGUCAUUGUUGGGAUACCGCCCUUAGGUUUCUGGAAUUCUAACCUGCGACCGUGAAUCCGGUCGGGGGACAUUGUCAGGUGGGCAGUUUGACUGGGGCGGUCGCCUCCGAAAAGGUAACGGAGGCGCUCAAAGGUUGGCUCAGCACGGACGGAAACCGUGCCUCUGAGUGUAAACGCAAAAGCCAGCCUAACUGCGAGGAUGACGGUCCGAGCAGUAACGAAAGUUGGAGUUAGUGAUCCGGCGGUAUGUGAAUGGAAAUGCCGUCGCUCAACGGAUAAAAGCUACCCUGGGGAUAACAGGCUGAUCUCCCCCAAGAGUCCACAUCGACGGGGAGGUUUGGCACCUCGAUGUCGGCUCAUC